RNAcentral lists this ribosomal RNA (387 nucleotides) under uncultured bacterium. Its description in RNAcentral is "bacterial SSU rRNA". It matches the Rfam family "Bacterial small subunit ribosomal RNA", at positions 30 to 417 of the family's 1533-position model. The record is from RNAcentral.
AUUGAACGCUGGCGGCAUGCCUUACACAUGCAAGUCGAACGGCAGCGCGGACUUCGGUCUGGCGGCGAGUGGCGAACGGGUGAGUAAUGUAUCGGAACGUACCAUUCAGUGGGGGAUAACGCAGCGAAAGUUGCGCUAAUACCGCAUAUUCUGUGCGCAGGAAAGCAGGGGAUCGCAAGACCUUGCGCUGAUUGAGCGGCCGAUAUCAGAUUAGCUAGUUGGUGAGGUAAAGGCUCACCAAGGCGACGAUCUGUAGCGGGUCUGAGAGGAUGAUCCGCCACACUGGAACUGAGACACGGUCCAGACUCCUACGGGAGGCAGCAGUGGGGAAUUUUGGACAAUGGGCGCAAGCCUGAUCCAGCCAUGCCGCGUGAGUGAAGAAGGCCU